Molecule: long non-coding RNA, 1093 nt
Filed under: Dromaius novaehollandiae (emu)
Lineage: Eukaryota; Metazoa; Chordata; Aves; Casuariiformes; Dromaiidae
Description: lncRNA (ENSDNVG00000010208.1)
Source: RNAcentral
ACGCUGGCACCGUGGGGGACAGGCGCCCGGGGGGGCGGCGGUCCCCACCCAUGUCCCCAUCUCCACACCCUCUCAAGGGAUGUGGGGACAAGUGACAUGGACCCACGUCCUCCCGUGUCUCCCUGUCCCAUGUCCCCCCCCAUGUUCCCAUGUCCCAUGUCCUCACGUGUCUCCCUGUCCCAUGUCCCCUCCCGGGUCCCCACCAUCUCCACACCCUCUCAAGGGACAUGGGGACAAGUGACACGGACCCACGUCCUCCCAUGUCUCCUUGUGUCAUGUCCCAUGUCCUCCCGUGUCUCCCUGUCCCAUGUCCCCCCCGUGUCCCCACUCCCAUGUCCCAUGUCCUCACGUGUCUCCCUGUGCCAUGUCCCCUCUGUGUCCCCAGUCCCAUGUCCUCACAUGCCUCCCUGUGCCAUGUCCCCCCGUGUCCCCAGUCCCAUGUCCCAUGUCCUCACAUGUCACCCCAUGUCCAGCAACAUGUCCUGCACAUCCUCCAUGUGUCCCUGUCCCCACCUCCCAUGUCCCCUGUGUGUCCUCCUGCUUCCCUCUGCCCCCCACGUCCCAUGUCCCCUCCUCAAGGAGCCCACAUCUUGUGUCCCCUCGUGUCCCCACGUCCCCUGUGGUCCAUUUCCCUGUGUCCCUCGUGUCCCAGCUCUCCCAGCUCCAUGUGUCUCUAUGUCGCCCUGUGCCGUGGCCCUCAGCCCUGUGGCACCCGCACAUCCCCGUGUGUCCCCACAUCCCUCCCCAUGUCCCCAUGUCCCUCCCCAUGUCCCCAUGUCCCCCCCGUGUCCCCACAUGUCCCCCCAUGUUCCCAUGCCCACCUGGGUGAUGGUCAGCAUGGUGCGGUUGACCUGCUGGCCCUCACCACGCAGGUGCAGAGCUGUGCAUCCCCCCCAUGUGUCCCCACGGCCCUCCCUAUGUCCCCAUGUCCCUCCCCAUGUCACCCCACGUGUCCCCACGUGUCCCCGUGCCCACCUGGGUGAUGGUCAGCGUGGUGCGGUUGACCUGCUGGGCCUGCAUGGCGGCCUGCGCCCGGGCCUUCACCACGUGAGUGCAGAGCAGGGUGUCCCCCCCACGCGUCCCCACGUCACCC